GACAGAGGAGCCAAGCGUUGUCCGGAUUGACUGGGCGUAAAGCGCACGCAGGCGGUCCGGCGCGUCGGGUGUGAAAACUGGCGGCUUAACUGCCAGAGGCCAUCCCAAACGGCGCAACUCGAGCCAUGCAGAGGUCCACGGAAUUGCCGGUGUAGUGGUGAAAUGCGUAGAGAUCGGCAGGAACACCCAGGGGGAAACCAGUGGACUGGGCAUGUGCUGACGCUCAGGUGCGAAAGCGUGGGGAGCGAACCGG
RNAcentral lists this ribosomal RNA (253 nucleotides) under uncultured bacterium. Its description in RNAcentral is "partial 16S ribosomal RNA". It matches the Rfam family "Bacterial small subunit ribosomal RNA", at positions 524 to 776 of the family's 1533-position model. The record is from RNAcentral.